GUUGUAGUCUGGAGAAGUGCUUUCUGUGCUGGACCGUGUAUAAGUCUCUUGGAAUAGAGCGUCAUAGAGGGUGAGAAUCCCGUCUUUGACACGGACUACCAGUGCUCUGUGAUGCGCUCUCAAAGAGUCGAGUUGUUUGGGAAUGCAGCUCAAAAUGGGUGGUAAAUUCCAUCUAAAGCUAAAUAUUGGCGAGAGACCGAUAGCGAACAAGUACCGUGAGGGAAAGAUGAAAAGCACUUUGGAAAGAGAGUUAAACAGUACGUGAAAUUGCUGAAAGGGAAACGCUUGAAGUCAGUCGCGUUGUUUGGAACUCAGCCUUGCUUUUUGCUUGGUGCACUUUCUGAAUGACGGGCCAGCAUCGAUUUUGACUGUUGGAAAAGGGCUGGGGGAAUGUGGCACCUUUGGGUGUGUUAUAGCCUCCUGUCGCAUACAGCGGUUGGGAUCGAGGAAUGCAGCGCGCCGCAAGGCAGGGGUUUGCCCACUUUCGCGCUUAGGAUGCCGGCAUAAUGGCUUUAAACGACCCGUCUUGAAACACGGACCAAGGAGUCUAACAUACCUGCGAGUGUUUGGGUGGAAAACCCGAGUGCGUAAUGAAAGUAAAAGUUGAGACCUCUGUCGUGGAGGGCAUCGACGCCCGGACCUGACGUUCUCUGAAGGAUCCGCGGUGGAGCAUGUAUGUUGGGACCCGAAAGAUGGUGAACUAUGCCUGAAUAGGGUGAAGCCAGAGGAAACUCUGGUG
This 739-nucleotide ribosomal RNA is filed under the name Echinochaete brachypora. RNAcentral describes it as "LSU rRNA". It matches the Rfam family "Eukaryotic large subunit ribosomal RNA", at positions 142 to 869 of the family's 3401-position model. Lineage: Eukaryota; Fungi; Basidiomycota; Agaricomycetes; Polyporales; Polyporaceae. The record is from RNAcentral.